This 762-nucleotide ribosomal RNA is filed under the name uncultured bacterium. RNAcentral's name for it is "bacterial SSU rRNA". It matches the Rfam family "Bacterial small subunit ribosomal RNA", at positions 625 to 1390 of the family's 1533-position model. The record is from RNAcentral.
UUUCAAAACUGCAUCCCUUGAGUAUCGGAGAGGCAAGCGGAAUUCCUAGUGUAGCGGUGAAAUGCGUAGAUAUUAGGAGGAACACCAGUGGCGAAGGCGGCUUGCUGGACGACAACUGACGCUGAGGCGCGAAAGCGUGGGGAGCAAACAGGAUUAGAUACCCUGGUAGUCCACGCUGUAAACGAUGAAUACUAGGUGUGGGAGGACUGACCCCUUCCGUGCCGCAGUUAACACAAUAAGUAUUCCACCUGGGGAGUACGACCGCAAGGUUGAAACUCAAAGGAAUUGACGGGGGCCCGCACAAGCAGUGGAUUAUGUGGUUUAAUUCGACGCAACGCGAAGAACCUUACCAGGACUUGACAUCCAACUAACGAAGUAGAGAUACAUUAGGUGCCCUUCGGGGAAAGUUGAGACAGGUGGUGCAUGGUUGUCGUCAGCUCGUGUCGUGAGAUGUUGGGUUAAGUCCCGCAACGAGCGCAACCCCUAUUGUUAGUUGCUACGAGAGAGCACUCUAGCGAGACUGCCGUUGACAAAACGGAGGAAGGCGGGGACGUCGUCAAAUCAUCAUGCCCCUUAUGUCCUGGGCUACACACGUAAUACAAUGGCCGUCAACAGAGGGAAGCAAAACCGCGAGGUAGAGCAAAACCCUAAAAACGGUCUCAGUUCGGAUUGCAGGCUGCAACUCGCCUGCAUGAAGCUGGAAUUGCUAGUAAUCGCGGAUCAGCAUGCCGCGGUGAAUACGUUCCCUGGCCUUGUACACAC